This 343-nucleotide unclassified non-coding RNA is filed under the name soil metagenome. RNAcentral describes it as "partial contains 5.8S ribosomal RNA, internal transcribed spacer 2, and large subunit ribosomal RNA". The stretch from base 1 to 120 matches the Rfam family "5.8S ribosomal RNA", at positions 35 to 154 of the family's 154-position model. The record is from RNAcentral.
GAUGAAGAACGUAGCGAAACGCGAUAAGUAAUGUGAAUUGCAGAAUCCAGUGAAUCAUCGAAUCUUUGAACGCACAUUGCGCCCGCCAGCAUUCUGGCGGGCAUGCCUGUUCGAGCGUCAUUUCAACCCUCGACCUCCCCUUGGGGAGGUCGGCGUUGGGGACCGGCAGCACACCGCCGGCCCUGAAAUGGAGUGGCGGCCCGUCCGCGGCGACCUCUGCGCAGUAAUACAGCUCGCGCCGGGACCCCGACGCGGCCACGCCGUAAAACACCCAACUUCUGAACGUUGACCUCGAAUCAGGUAGGACUACCCGCUGAACUUAAGCAUAUCAAUAAGCGGAGGA